This 867-nucleotide ribosomal RNA is filed under the name uncultured archaeon. RNAcentral describes it as "bacterial SSU rRNA". It matches the Rfam family "Archaeal small subunit ribosomal RNA", at positions 1 to 878 of the family's 1478-position model. The record is from RNAcentral.
UCCGGGUUGAUCCUGCCGGACCCGACUGCUAUCAGAGUGGGACUAAGCCAUGCGAGUCAACAUAGCAAUAUGUGGCAUACGGCUCAGUAACACGUAGUCAACAUGCCCAGGGGACGUGGAUAACCUCGGGAAACUGAGGAUAAACCGCGAUAGGUCAUCACUUCUGGAAUGGGUAAUGACUUAAAUCUAUAUGGCCCCUGGAUUGGACUGCGGCCGAUCAGGCUGUUGGUGAGGUAAUGGCCCACCAAACCUGUAACCGGUACGGGCUCUGAGAGGAGGAGCCCGGAGAUGGGCACUGAGACAAGGGCCCAGGCCCUAUGGGGCGCAGCAGGCGCGAAACCUCUGCAAUAGGCGAAAGCUUGACAGGGUUACUCUGAGUGAUUUCCGUUAAGGAGAUCUUUUGGCACCUCUAAAAAUGGUGCAGAAUAAGGGGUGGGCAAGUCUGGUGUCAGCCGCCGCGGUAAUACCAGCACCCCGAGUGGUCGGGACGUUUAUUGGGCCUAAAGCAUCCGUAGCCGGUUCUACAAGUCUUCCGUUAAAUCCACCUGCUUAACAGAUGGGCUGCGGAAGAUACUAUAGAGCUAGGAGGCGGGAGAGGCAAGCGGUACUCGAUGGGUAGGGGUAAAAUCCGUUGAUCCAUUGAAGACCACCAGUGGCGAAGGCGGCUUGCCAGAACGCGCUCGACGGUGAGGGAUGAAAGCUGGGGGAGCAAACCGGAUUAGAUACCCGGGUAGUCCCAGCUGUAAACGAUGCAGACUCGGUGAUGAGUUGGCUUAUUGCUAACUCAGUGCCGCAGGGAAGCCGUUAAGUUUGCCACGGGGGGCGUACGGUCGCAAGACUGAAACUUGAAGCUUUAAGGGGGGAGCA